RNAcentral lists this ribosomal RNA (492 nucleotides) under uncultured bacterium. Its description in RNAcentral is "partial 16S ribosomal RNA". It matches the Rfam family "Bacterial small subunit ribosomal RNA", at positions 29 to 507 of the family's 1533-position model. The record is from RNAcentral.
AGUGAACGCUGGCGGUAGGCCUAACACAUGCAAGUCGAACGGCAGCACAGUAAGAGCUUGCUCUUACGGGUUGCGAGUGGCGGACGGGUGAGGAAUACAUCGGAAUCUACUUUUUCGUGGGGGAUAACGUAGGUAAACUUACGCUAAUACCGCAUACGACCUACGGGUGAAAGCAGGGGAUCUUCGGACCUUGCGCGAUUGAAUUAGCCGAUGUCGGAUUAGCUAGUUGGCGGGGUAAAGGCCCACCAAGGCGACGAUCCGUAGCUGGUCUGAGAGGAUGAUAAGCCACACUGGAACUGAGACACGGUCCAGACUCCUACGGGAGGCAGCAGUGGGGAAUAUUGGACAAUGGGCGCAAGCCUGAUCCAGCCAUACCGCGUGGGUGAAGAAGGCCUUCGGGUUGUAAAGCCCUUUUGUUGGGAAAGAAAAGCAGCAGGUUAAUACCCCGCUGUUCUGACGGUACCCAAAGAAUAAGCACCGGCUAACUUCGUG